This 1367-nucleotide ribosomal RNA is filed under the name uncultured bacterium. Its description in RNAcentral is "bacterial SSU rRNA". It matches the Rfam family "Bacterial small subunit ribosomal RNA". The record is from RNAcentral.
AGAGUUUGAUCCUGGCUCAGGAUGAACGCUGGCGGCGCGCCUAACACAUGCAAGUCGAACGGCACCUGCCCUCGGGCAGAAGCGAGUGGCGAACGGCUGAGUAACACGUGGAGAACCUGCCCCCUCCCCCGGGAUAGCCGCCCGAAAGGACGGGUAAUACCGGAUACCCCGGGGGGGCGCAUGGCACCCCGGCUAAGGCCCCGACGGGAGGGGAUGGCUCCGCGGCCCAUCAGGUAGACGGCGGGGUGACGGCCCACCGUGCCGACAACGGGUAGCCGGGUUGAGAGACCGACCGGCCAGAUUGGGACUGAGACACGGCCCAGACUCCUACGGGAGGCAGCAGUGGGGAAAUCUUGCGCAAUGGGGGGAACCCUGACGCAGCGACGCCGCGUGCGGGACGGAGGCCUUCGGGUCGUAAACCGCUUUCAGCAGGGAAGAGUCAAGACUGUACCUGCAGAAGAAGCCCCGGCUAACUACGUGCCAGCAGCCGCGGUAAUACGUAGGGGGCGAGCGUUAUCCGGAUUCAUUGGGCGUAAAGCGCGCGUAGGCGGCCCGGCAGGCCGGGGGUCGAAGCGGGGGGCUCAACCCCCCGAAGCCCCCGGAACCUCCGCGGCUUGGGUCCGGUAGGGGAGGGUGGAACACCCGGUGUAGCGGUGGAAUGCGCAGAUAUCGGGUGGAAACACCGGUGGCGAAGGCGGCCCUCUGGGCCGAGACCGACGCUGAGGCGCGAAAGCUGGGGGAGCGAACAGGAUUAGAUACCCUGGUAGUCCCAGCCGUAAACGAUGGACGCUAGGUGUGGGGGGACGAUCCCCCCGUGCCGCAGCCAACGCAUUAAGCGUCCCGCCUGGGGAGUACGGCCGCAAGGCUAAAACUCAAAGGAAUUGACGGGGGCCCGCACAAGCAGCGGAGCAUGUGGCUUAAUUCGAAGCAACGCGAAGAACCUUACCAGGGCUUGACAUAUGGGUGAAGCGGGGGAGACCCCGUGGCCGAGAGGAGCCCAUACAGGUGGUGCAUGGCUGUCGUCAGCUCGUGUCGUGAGAUGUUGGGUUAAGUCCCGCAACGAGCGCAACCCCCGCCGCGUGUUGCCAUCGGGUGAUGCCGGGAACCCACGCGGGACCGCCGCCGUCAAGGCGGAGGAGGGCGGGGACGACGUCAAGUCAUCAUGCCCCUUAUGCCCUGGGCUGCACACGUGCUACAAUGGCCGGUACAGAGGGAUGCCACCCCGCGAGGGGGAGCGGAUCCCGGAAAGCCGGCCCCAGUUCGGAUUGGGGGCUGCAACCCGCCCCCAUGAAGUCGGAGUUGCUAGUAAUCGCGGAUCAGCAUGCCGCGGUGAAUGCGUUCCCGGGCCUUGCACACACCGCCCGUCA